GGGGAUAGAGCUCAGUGAUGCAGCACUUGCCUGGCAAGCAUGAGAUCCUGGGUUCAAUUCCCAGUACCA
This 69-nucleotide transfer RNA is filed under the name Cavia porcellus (domestic guinea pig). It matches the Rfam family "tRNA". Rfam says of the family: Transfer RNA (tRNA) molecules are approximately 80 nucleotides in length. Their secondary structure includes four short double-helical elements and three loops (D, anti-codon, and T loops). Further hydrogen bonds mediate the characteristic L-shaped molecular structure. tRNAs have two regions of fundamental functional importance: the anti-codon, which is responsible for specific mRNA codon recognition, and the 3' end, to which the tRNAs corresponding amino acid is attached (by aminoacyl-tRNA synthetases). tRNAs cope with the degeneracy of the genetic code in two manners: having more than one tRNA (with a specific anti-codon) for a particular amino acid; and 'wobble' base-pairing, i.e. permitting non-standard base-pairing at the 3rd anti-codon position. Lineage: Eukaryota; Metazoa; Chordata; Mammalia; Rodentia; Caviidae. The record is from Rfam by way of RNAcentral.